GGCACGCUUAACACAUGCAAGUCGAACGGGAUCUUCGGAUCUAGUGGCAGACGGGUGAGUAACGCGUGGGAACCUGCCCAGUAGUAGAGAAUAACUUGAGGAAACUUAAGCUAAUACUUUAUACACCCUUCGGGGAAAAGCUUUAUGCGCUAUUGGAUGGGCCCGCGUUAGAUUAGUUUGUUGGUGAGGUAAUGGCUCACCAAGACUACGAUCUAUAGCUGGUCUGAGAGGAUGAUCAGCCACACUGGGACUGAGACACGGCCCAGACUCCUACGGGAGGCAGCAGUGGGGAAUAUUGGACAAUGGGGGCAACCCUGAUCCAGCGAUGCCGCGUGAGUGAUGAAGGCCUUCGGGUUGUAAAACUCUUUCGUCAGGGAAGAUAAUGACGGUACCUGAAGAAGAAGAUCCGG
This 410-nucleotide ribosomal RNA is filed under the name uncultured Pseudomonadota bacterium. RNAcentral's name for it is "bacterial SSU rRNA". It matches the Rfam family "Bacterial small subunit ribosomal RNA", at positions 41 to 496 of the family's 1533-position model. Lineage: Bacteria; Pseudomonadati; Pseudomonadota. The record is from RNAcentral.